Long non-coding RNA from Bacillus rossius redtenbacheri, 6177 nucleotides. RefSeq lists it as uncharacterized. The transcript is spliced from 4 exons. Lineage: Eukaryota; Metazoa; Arthropoda; Insecta; Phasmatodea; Bacillidae. The record is from RefSeq and is a predicted model, not a curated record.
CCCGCCGACGUUUCCAAUGAUUCGAUCAAAGUGACGGGGUUGCACUAUUUAUAUUGGCGACCACAUAGCGAGUUAUGGGAACGUAAUAGUUCCCGGUAUCGCUGUCACACGCUCCCGGCCGAGCAUAUGAGGAAACGGCGGCAGCCCCUUCUCAGUCGCACCUGUGUUUCCGUACCAUGUGCGUCUCUGCCUGAGGACGGGAGCAGAUAGCAGUUCCCGAAACGUCGCUUGUUUCUGUUUAGGUAAAACUAUUGUAUUUGUUUGUUUUUUCGUUUUGUCAUGUUUUUUGUCUCGCUUCAACUGUUGUGCUGAAUUAUUUUGGGUUUCAAUAUUUUCGUGUUGUCCUCAUUUGUGGGGAUUUUUCGUUCUCUUAGUACAUUUUUCUUUGUUUUUUCUUUGUUUGCUGACCAUAUUCCUGUUUCGGAAUAUUUUGUGGUGUUCAUAUCCUUGUUGACAACAGCAAUUGUUUGCUUUAUUUUGUGUGUUUUUUGUAUCUUUUUUUGUUUUUUUUUUUUAAUUUUUUUUUUAUUUUUUAUUUUUUUUUAAUUUUAUUUAUUAGUUUUUCUUCAACAGAAAAAGUUCUUAGCAAUGGCGUAUGUCCAAAAACUUACAUCAAGUUAUUUCCAUGACAUCAGUUAUUUUAUACUAGUGUAUCAAGGGGCAGAAUAUUGCUUAUCAAAAUAUCUAUAAAAAAAUAUUUUGGUAAAGAAAAUACCUUAUUAUAUCACUUGCCUCACAGAAACAAGAUUCAAUGAAAAAAAUUAAAAUUCGCGUUUCUUCAGUUACCAAUCAUAUCUUUAGAAAUGACAAGAAAGCUCAAACUCACUUUGAAUAAAAGAGGAGAAUUUUUAAAUGCAUUGAAUAAUCAUAAAUAUUAAUCAGUUUAACCUAUAGAUAAAUUUAAUUUCCCUGGAAUUCUGUGGUUACGAAUUAAAAUAUCCCCUACAAUCAUUCUUACUCAUAGUAAUAUUUAUUAACUUCUAUAGCAUUUAUAGCCUUUUUAGAUAUUCAUAAAGAUAAGCUAGACACCUGUGAAAUAACUUAGUGGUCAUCUUGAGAUUCCUACGUUCCCUGUAGAGACCCAUCAACUAAAUUUAAACUUUUCUGGGUGUGGGUGGCCACACCGCACAUUCCUGUGAAAUAUCACGGGGCUCACUUGGGCCAGCGCGGCCUAAGGUAAUAAGUUGUGAUCUCAGAUGUAACUUCAUAUAGGCUCACUGCUAACGAGCUGGUAGGUAUGGGCUUACUCUAUGUCCUUCCCCGAAGUUAACGACUAAGAUAGGACCCAAUGAAACAGGUCCAUGAUUUGAAAGGGCCUCAGUAGUAGAUGAUGUGAAUCAACAGUUUAAGUUCCCUCUAGGUUGCGGAGAAUGACAUUAUUAAAGUAAUUGUCUUGUAAAGUUACCAUUAAUAUUUAGGGUUGUGCGAAUGUUCGGUAUACCGAAACCGAAAUUUUGCUACUUUCAUUUUCGAUUUCGGUAAGAAUUUCAUCUGUCGAAGUUCGUUUUUAGCGAAAUAUUUCGAGCUAAACGAAAGUUCAAUAGCUUACCGAAGUUCGUUUGUUCUAGUUGAAAAAGAACUCGUAAUUUAAUAAAAAUGUACAGUAGAAUACCAGUACAAUAACGUACCUUAUUAUAACAUACAUUUCACUUUAACGUAUUUUUUUAAGUCCCCGCCAAAAAUCGUAUCUUCGCCAUGCAAAACGGUUUCAGUUUAAAGUAUCAUAUUUUCACUAUAACGUAUAAAUUCUACUAGUAGCGUGGCAUUACUACACCAAAAUUUACUUAAACUGGUAAAUAAAUUUCCAGCUAAAUGAUUAAUGUUGUAGAACAAAGAUACACAAAUACCACCGCAACGUAUUUUCUAACCUCUAAAUUCUCAAAACAAAGUUAACAAACAGUUGCGCGCACUUCCAUAGAUUAUACCGUACGUAGUAUGCGACGUGAGCAACACAACACCAUUCGAUACAUCGAAAGACGGAAGUUUGAGAGAAGUAUUAAUUAUUUAGACAAAAGUGUUACGCUACGCUAAAAAUACUGUUUGAUGUCUGUGCCGGGAUUGUUUAUUGUUAUUGUUGAGUUUAUUUUCAGGUUACGUUAUUUAGACACCGCAUUGUAUUUGUGAUACAAUAUGAAUGAUCCUGGAGAUAAAAAGAAACGAAAGCAAGCGCUGCAUAUUCGCGACACCCGCACGCUCUAUCGGAUAACGACUGACAGGACUGGCUCUUGUAUCCCGUUAAGGGGGCAUGGUAGAUAAAUAAAUGCUUUCAGCGUCAGUUGGACGUUAUAGGUUUUUGGAAGACAACAUUGAAAAACUGCAAAACCACAAUCCUAUAUAAUGUUAUUUGCCAACUUUAUUAGCAGACGUCCCAAAAUUACAAUUCUCAAGCGUUGUUUCUUCCGCAGCAAUUAAAUGUUCAAGUAACCUUCAGUUUUUAAUUAAUGCAUUUAGCUCUUGUUUGGAUACCAUGCCGCCUUAAGUAAUAGUUCCAGGAAGAAAGAGUACCAUAAUUUUACUUCAAAUUUUGACUUAGUAAAGUAUUCAAAUUGUAUUGUUUCAGACUAAAAUUUUUUUACUGAAUAUGAAUCUUACCUUACAUUCAUCCAGUGUUCUUUGAUUAAACAUUUGAUCAAUAUGAUAAUACAAAGCACGUGAUCUUGCUGAACAGAUGUUGCCUAAAUUCAAAGCACAUGAUCUUGCUGAAAGAAUGUAGCCUAAGUUAUAACUGGCCAAACAUAUACAGUAAAACUACGUUAUAACGUAAAUUUAUAACGGCGCCAAAAGUUUAUGUUACAUAUAGCAAAUUUUCGUUAUAGCCAAAAUUUAAAAAAAAAAAAAAAAACAUUUUUGUAGCAUUUUUAAAAUAUAUUUUUUUCUCUCUUGUUUUUACUAUGGAAAUUCACAACAAAAGUAAAGGAAAUAUACAUAAAACUUACUAACAUAACAUUUUUAAGCUAUAUCAGCACUUGCAGACUGCGAAAUAUGAGACUGCGUGGCUUGAUAAGGCCGUCACGCACAUCGUGGCUAAACGCACAGCUGUUUGUUUACCUGGAGACGGGCGGGCGGGGUCACGCAAGGUCUUGCUGGCCGCUUCCUGUCGCUUUGACCGCAGCUGGUUUGCUGGAGACAUGUGCGCUAAGCUGAUGAUAUCGGGUGCAUAUUUGCGGAGUUUUGAAUACUUACUAACAAUAUGUAAACUCAAAGAUGUAGUGAAAUUUAUUUUAAAAUUUGUCACAUUAUUACUCACGACACCUAUGAAAGAUGUCAAACACAUAAAAAAAAUUUAAAAAAUCUCUAAUUACGUUGGACAACCAUACAAAUUAUAUAAAAUAAUUUUUCCGACAAUUGGUCAGUAACACAAAAAUAAUCACCCGUACAAACCGUUGGAAAAUAACACAAAAUUAAAAAUCACUUUUUAAAAAAGAAUCAAUGUUCGUUUGCCUUUGAUUUCACUAGACUUUCGGACAAAAUAAACGACUGGACCUCUUGGAAGUUCAUCAAAUCUUUCGUCGAAGCAUUUGUUUGCUGAUAAAAACGACUGAUUGUGUCAAGUGCAUCCAUCAUUGACGUUUUCGACGGAACAGAAAUGCAACGCUUAUGAUGCAAGUGUGAGACGAGUUAUGCUCAUUUACAGGCUACAAUUGGCGUGAUUCUAAAUAAGUAAUGCUCGCAGCGGGACCCUGUCGUAGUGGGUUAACGACACUUGCUUUCGUCACCGCGAGGCAAGCUAUGCUCGCUGUGGGGCCCCACCUUGUGCGGUGUUGCCAAGACGGCCACAUCAUGCGCAUUGUUUCAUUUGCCGGAAUGCACAGUUCAUGAGUUAGUUCUCCGAAAUUCAUCGCCUCCUGCAAUCAGAGAAUUUCUGAAGAGUACCAGCUUUCAACGUCUUUUCCUCUGAGUGGAAAAACCACAAAAUAAUUUAUAAUUCUAAACAACCAGUUUCAGGACACUUUUUAUUUAUUUAACGAGUAAAUGUAAUUGGUUAUAAUUUGUUUUAUGAAGAGCCUGCGUGCUCAAUAUUCAAUGGCCUGUAAAGUUAAGAGACCAAAUGACCUAACAUUCAGUCAAGUAUAACCAUUGUUACUUAUGUAUAAUAUCUCGCCCCGGGGCCUCCCCAUUUUGUUUGUUGUUUAACAAGAUUUAAUGUAUCAAGUAUAGCAAAUAAGGUCAACAAUUUUCUUGGUAUUUUGUUUCGUCUGUAAUGCCAUGGGUCAUCUUCAGUUGAAUAACGUUUGUAAAUACAAAAACAACAGCAACAAAAUCAUUAAGUAAGAUUUAGUAAAUGCCUAUACAAACCAAACCAGAUCUUAUUAUUUUCUUACCCUGUGAUCACGAUCCACAUAACCUUCCCAAAUUUAAGGAGGUUAAUCAUAAAUUUUGUUGUGCGUGUUCUGUGCCCCUAUGGGUAAUGUGUUUAGUUCUGUUUUCUGCCUGGCGCUUCCACGGCCAAUCUUUAUUUGUUCUUUAGACGAAAUGCCACUUCAAGCACAGCCGUACUUAACAAAUUAAAAAUAUUAUUUUUUCUGAAGUUGGUCAUGUUACAAUUCAAAUUGAAGCCAAUUCAAUGACCUUUAAAAUUAGCUGUCAAACAGCCUUCUAGCAUCAUUGGUUGGAAACCUACAAGUAUUUGAGUGAUCCAAAACAUUGCUAAAAUUGGCUAUUUUUGCAAAUCACAAAAAUUUAUACAAAAAAACUACUCAAAAAAAUAUAUUUAUAAUGUAUUAAGUUGAUAUUACUAAUAUACAAAAAAACAUGAAAAUCUAAGGUGUAGAGGCCUCUGGUUGAUUUCAUAUGGAAUGACCCUAAACUAAAAUGACUUAAAUUAACCUAUCACAUAUUAUAAUUAAAACUAAACAAAAUCUUAAAGCUACUGGCUUAAAAUUACACUUCAACUGUGAAACCUGACUAACAAAACAUAUCCUUAAAGUUACUGAAAAUAAGCAAACUAGUAUACUUUUUACUAACUUCUACUCUUUUACAACACACACUCUUGUUAAAUUUUUUCUGCCACAUGAACCUUCUAGAUCAAAUAACUUGCGUAAGCCACCAAAUGUAGCGGGAAGGUUUAAAUCAAUUAGUAAACAAAAUUCUUAAAUGGUCAAUAAUUAAGUUGACAUGUCAAACAGGCUGUUAUGAUCUUUACUUGGAGGACCACUCACUUUUAUACACUCACUUGGCAUAGUUAUGCAAGAGGUUUAUAUUCAUAGUAGUUUAUCUUUAAUGAACACAAAUGUUUCCUACCAGGACCUUAAGGGUGUAGGUUAAGCACCCAGUACACAGUGCCUGGUGAAAUAUUAAACUAAUAAAUUUACUUAAAAAUAAUUAUCACUAUGAUAGUAACAUUAACAAAAAAUUUUUUAAAUAACAAAACACACUUAUAAAUUCUACACGUCAAUCUUUUUUUUUUUUUUAGGUUGCUUAAAAUUGGUAACUCGUAAUUACAAUUUAGUUAAACAACUUAAUCGAUCAACUAAACUAGAGUGAGUAUCAAAAUCCUUGACACCUUUAAUCUUUCUAAUAUUAACUAUUUUCUUCUUUUUCAGUAUUCUACACGGCAGUUUUCGUGACAACCGAAUACAUGGUCAGCACCACAAACAAGCAUCACAUUAAUGGAAUGAUUGCCAUGCCUAUCUACAUAUAUAGGUUCAAAGUCUGCUUGUGCAUCCAUAUUUAUUAAUGUUCCGUCCACUGCCCCACCUACGGAUGGCAUCCCUGCUAACUGACUGAACUGAUGUACUACUGUAGCUACAUCAUCAGGCCAUCGCACAUGUUCAGUUUCCAGCAGACAGCCACACUGCUUUGUCGACAUGUGCCCUGCCAUCUAGAGCCAGUCUGGGUGUGGGUGGCCACACCGCACAUUCCUGUGAGUGAGCUCGGGGCUCACUUGGGCCAGCGCGGCCUAAGGUAUGUAAGGAAAUUAGAAAAUGAGCUGAAACAUUAAACUCCUUGGACACUCCAUAGAAAGGAAGAAUUAUUUUCUGUUUAAUGCUGGCAUGUGAAGACAUUAGAACAUUUUCUUGUAGAUUAAAUUCUUUGGACAUUCAAUGAAAAUGAAUUAUUUUGUGAAUUUUUGUUAUAAUAGUGCUUUUUUUAUUUCACUUAGAAUUUUAUUUCAUUGCCAGUUAAUUAAUAGUAACUAAGAAAAUGAAAUAAAUUUUUUUUUUUUGGAGAAAUAAA